RNAcentral lists this ribosomal RNA (253 nucleotides) under uncultured bacterium. RNAcentral's name for it is "partial 16S ribosomal RNA". It matches the Rfam family "Bacterial small subunit ribosomal RNA", at positions 524 to 776 of the family's 1533-position model. The record is from RNAcentral.
UACGUAGGGUGCAAGCGUUAAUCGGAAUUACUGGGCGUAAAGCGCACGUAGUCGGCUUUGCAAGUCGGGUGUGAAAUCCCCGGGCUCAACCUGGGAACUGCAUCCGAGACUGCCUUGCUAGAGUAUGGGAGAGGGAAGUGGAAUUUCCGGUGUAGCGGUGAAAUGCGUAGAUAUCGGAAGGAACACCAGUGGCGAAGGCGACUCUCUGGUCUGUAACUGACGCUGAGGCGCGAAAGCGUGGGGAGCAAACAGG